GAUGAACGCUGGCGGCGUGCCUAAUACAUGCAAGUCGAGCGAACAGACGAGGAGCUUGCUCCUCUGACGUUAGCGGCGGACGGGUGAGUAACACGUGGAUAACCUACCUAUAAGACUGGGAUAACUUCGGGAAACCGGAGCUAAUACCGGAUAAUAUAUUGAACCGCAUGGUUCAAUAGUGAAAGACGGUUUUGCUGUCACUUAUAGAUGGAUCCGCGCCGCAUUAGAUAGUUGGUAAGGUAACGGCUUACCAAGGCAACGAUGCGUAGCCGACCUGAGAGGGUGGUCGGCCACACUGGAACUGAGACACGGUCCAGACUCCUACGGGAGGCAGCAGUAGGGAAUCUUCCGCAAUGGGGGAAAGCCUGACGGAGCAACGCCGCGUGAGUGAUGAAGGUCUUAGGAUCGUAAAGCUCUGUUAGUAGGGAAGAACAAAUGUGUAAGUAACUAUGCACGUCUUGACGGUACCUAAUCAGAAAGCCACGGCUAACUACGUG
RNAcentral lists this ribosomal RNA (497 nucleotides) under uncultured bacterium. RNAcentral describes it as "partial 16S ribosomal RNA". It matches the Rfam family "Bacterial small subunit ribosomal RNA", at positions 28 to 507 of the family's 1533-position model. The record is from RNAcentral.